Molecule: ribosomal RNA, 512 nt
Filed under: uncultured bacterium
Lineage: Bacteria
Description: partial 16S ribosomal RNA
Rfam family: Bacterial small subunit ribosomal RNA
Source: RNAcentral
GACGAACGCUGGCGGCGUGCCUAAUACAUGCAAGUCGAGCGAAUCAAUAGGAGCUUGCUCCUGUUGAUUAGCGGCGGACGGGUGAGUAACACGUGGGCAACCUGCCUGUAAGAUCGGGAUAACUUCGGGAAACCGGAGCUAAUACCGGAUAAUCCUUUUCCACAUAUGUGGGAAAGCUGACAGACGGUUUCGGCUGUCACUUACAGAUGGGCCCGCGGCGCAUUAGUUAGUUGGUGAGGUAACGGCUCACCAAGGCGACGAUGCGUAGCCGACCUGAGAGGGUGAUCGGCCACACUGGGACUGAGACACGGCCCAGACUCCUAAGGGAGGCAGCAGUAGGGAAUCUUCCGCAAUGGACGAAAGUCUGACGGAGCAACGCCGCGUGAGCGAUGAAGGCCUUCGGGUCGUAAAGCUCUGUUGUUAGGGAGGAACAAGUAUCGGAGUAACUGCCGGUACCUUGACGGUACCUAACCAGAAAGCCACGGCUAACUACGUGCCAGCCGCCGCAGUAA